Long non-coding RNA from Homo sapiens (human), 1500 nucleotides. Lineage: Eukaryota; Metazoa; Chordata; Mammalia; Primates; Hominidae. The record is from Ensembl.
GGCUGCUCUUCCCCUUUCCCCCAAUGGUUUAUUUGCUAGAAGAGUCUUUUCCUACCAACUCUGAGCUUGAUGCAGACAGACAAGACACUUACCUGCUUUCGAGUCGGAGUUUCAACUCUGUCGCCCAGGCUGGAGUGUAGUGGUGUGAUUGUGUCUCACUGAAACCUCGAACUCCAGGGUUCAAGCAAUCCUUCCACUUCAGACUCCCAAGUAGUUGCGAUUACAGGCUCUUGUGCUUCACUGUUCUCCGGUGCCCUCCCAGGGUUGCCCAGGGCAGGCUUGGGGGCUGACACAGUGACUGACAUUGGGUGAGCUACCUGCGGAAAAGGGCCAGUUGGAAGCUACUAAAAAGUCUGGAAAAGGUUAUUGGUCUCGCUCUAUUGCCCAGGAUGGAGUGCAGUGGCAUGAUCUCAGCUCACUGGAGCCUGGACCUCCCAGGCUCAAGCUAUCUGCCCAUCUCAGCUUCCCAAGUAGCUGGCACUACAGCCAGAGCAGGCCAGUUUCAAUAUGGUGGAUGUUGAUUCUGAAAAGGGGAUGCUAUGGACACUUGGCAAGGACGACUGUCCCGAAGACUGCAACUCUGGCCACUGCUUCCCGAAUAAAUGUCUGUCAAGCACCUUCCCUAAAUUUUGCCAUAAUCCCUGCUCUCACUUCCACCCCACUUCCAAGGUUCUUAAUUGUUCCAGCAACAUCUUUACCCAGCUGAGAUAUGAUGAAACUGCAGUUAACAAAGCAAAGUAAAACAAAACUAUUUGCCUUUGCUCUUUUCAGAUGUAUACUGAUGCCAAAAAAACACCAUAAGGUAUCAGUUGACUCACAUGGGCAGGGGAAAGAGAGGAGAUAAUACUGAGCCUUGUCACUACAGUAACCAAAACAGCAUGGUACUGGUACCAAAACAGAGAUAUAGACCAAUGGAACAGAACAGAGGCCUCAGAAAUAACACCACACAUCUACAACCAUAUGAUCUUUGACAAACCUGACAAAAACCAGUAACAGGGAAAGGAUUCCGUAUUUAAUAAAUGGUGCUGGGAAAACUGGCUAGCCAUAUGUAGAAAGCUGAAACUGGAUCCCUUCCUUAUACCUUAUACAAAAAUUAAUUCAAGAUGCAUUAAAGACUUAAAUGUAAAACCUAAAACCAUAAAAACCCUAGAAGAAAACCUAGGCAUUACCAUUCAGGACAUAGGCAUGGGCAAGGACUUCAUGACUAAAACACCAAAAGCAAUGGCAACAAAAGCCAAAACAGACAAAUGGGAUCUAAUUAAACUAAAGAGCUUCUGCACAGCAAAAGAAACUACCAUCAGAGUGAACAGGCAACCUACAGAAUGGGAGAAAAUUUUUACAAUCUACUCAUCUGACAAAGGGCUGAUAUCCAGAAUGUACAAAGAACUUAAAGAAAUUAACAACAACAAAAAAAAUCAAACAACCCCAUGAAAAAGUGGGCAAAGGAUAUGAACAGACACUUCUCUCUCUCUCUCUUUUUUUUUUUUUUGAGAUGGAGUC